GCUCGGAUGCAAUCGGGACCUCCUCCCGGGCUGGGCCGGGGGCGGGCUCCCGGACCCAGGGCGCCGGGAGCCGGCGGACUACCUGCGAGUCGAGUUAGCGUUGUCGCCGAACCGAAGUGAGAGGGCACGGGGAAGCGUGCCGAAGCGCUGGAGGGAGCUUCACGGACGCGAGCUAGGCAUCGGCUCGCCUAAUCCGGUACUAAUCCGGCUUGCUGCUUCCCGUCCAGGCCUCGCUCGCCAUGGGGGAGGUGGAGAUCUCGGCCCUGGCCUACGUGAAGAUGUGCCUGCAUGCUGCCCGGUACCCACACGCCGCAGUCAACGGGCUGUUUCUGGCGCCAGCGCCGCGGUCCGGAGAAUGCCUGUGCCUCACCGACUGUGUGCCCCUCUUCCACAGCCACCUGGCCCUGUCCGUCAUGUUGGAGGUCGCCCUCAACCAGGUGGAUGUGUGGGGAGCACAGGCCGGUCUGGUGGUGGCUGGUUACUACCAUGCCAAUGCAGCUGUGAACGAUCAGAGCACUCAAGCAUCAAGCAGUCGUGCAUCAAGCAUCCAGCAGGCCCGAUCCCCGCAGGCCACCUACAGGGAAAGGCCACAGCUGCGCCCACACCUAUGAGACCUGGGAUGCCCAGCUCAAAUUGAUGGGUUUUGCCCACAGUUGGCUCCUCACUCCUCUGAUCUUCCCUCUACACAGCCCUGGGCCCCUGGCCUUGAAAAUUGCUGGGCGAAUUGCAGAAUUCUUCCCUGAUGCAGUACUUAUUAUG
This 759-nucleotide small RNA is filed under the name Pongo abelii (Sumatran orangutan). RNAcentral's name for it is "processed transcript". Lineage: Eukaryota; Metazoa; Chordata; Mammalia; Primates; Hominidae. The record is from RNAcentral.